Coturnix japonica (Japanese quail) is the source of this 1702-nucleotide long non-coding RNA. The record is from Ensembl. NCBI's taxonomy places the organism in Eukaryota, Metazoa, Chordata, Aves, Galliformes, Phasianidae.
GGUAGUUGGCGAAUAAGGGGGGAUGGGGAGGGGGAUAUGGGGACAAAGGGGAGAUGGGGGGUCAAUGGGGGGGGACAAUGGGGGGGAUAGUUGGGGGGGGAAGGGGGAAAUGGGGGGUCAAUGGGGGGGAUGGGGAUAAGGGGGGACAAAAGGGGUAGGUGGGGGAGAAAGGGGGGAGACGAGGGGGGAUAUGGGGACAAAGGGGCCCAGGACAAGGGGGGGAUGGGGGACAGAAGGGUGGUGGGGGGACAAGGGGGGGGUGGGGACAGGAUGGGGACAUGGGAUAGGAUAUGGGGCAGGAUAUGGCGAUAGGAUGGGGAUAAGGGGAGGGGGAUAUGGGGCAGGAUGGGGAUAUGGGGCACAGAAAGGGGUAGCAGAGAAGGGCAGGAGGGGAGCCGUCAUCAGGAGCCGUCCCUGCACCGACCCACAGCCCCUGGGGGGGCACCAUGGGUGCAGGAUGGGCGGCUAGCGCCAACAGCUGUGGGUGCUGGAGGACCCAUAGCCUGCGGCUAAUGGGGUGGGGAGGGGCCUAUAUCCAGCACCCAUGGGUGCUGUGGGGCUCUUGACCCACAUCUGUGGGUGCUUGAGCGGUCUCCUAUAUGCUGCACCUAUGGGUGCUACAGCAAUCUGGUCCUGCACCCAUGGGUGCCUCACCUCAUCCUAUAGCACCCAUAGGUGCCUUACCUCGUCCAUUAGCACCCAUAGGUGGCCUUUACUCACAUCCUAUAGCACCAUAGGUGCCUUACCUUGUCCAUUAGCACCCAUAGGUGCCUUAUCUCACCCUAUAGCACCCAUAGGUGCCUUACCUCGUCCAUUAGCACCCAUAGGUGCCUCAUCUCACCCUAUAGCACCCAUAGGUGCCUUACCUCAUCCUAUAGCACCCAUAGGUGCCUUACCUCGUCCAUUAGCACCUAUAGGUGCCUCACCUCGUCCUAUAGCACCCAUAGGUGCCUUACCUCAUCCUAUAGCACCCAUAGGUGCCUUACCUCGUCCUACAGCACCCAUAGGUGCCUUAUCUCACCCUAUAGCACCCAUAGGUGCCUUAUGUCAUCCUAUAGCACCCAUAGGUGCCUUACCUCGUCCAUUAGCACCCAUAGGUGCCUUAUCUCACCCUAUAGCACCCAUAGGUCCCUUACCUCGUCCAUUAGCACCCAUGGGUGCCUCACCUCGGCCUUGAGCUCGUCGAUGUGAUCCUUCAGCUGCCGGAUGUACUGAGCGGCGUCCGAGUGGUUGAGCUGCCCUUGGAUCAUCCCCUCCUCCCUCUAUGGGGCGCAGAGGGGUCACCCCGUCACCCAUAUCCCACCCUAUAUCCCACCCUAUAUCCCACCCUAUAUCCCACCCUAUAUGUCACCCUAUAUGUCCCCCCCCCACCCCACAAACCUGGAUCUCCAGCUCGGCCACCCUCUGUCUCAUCUCAGCCAGGGCCGCCAUGCUGUCGGCCUCGCGCAGCCUCACGGCCAUCACCUCCUCUUUGCUCUAUGGGGGGGGGGGGGGGACAUUGGGGGGCACCCAUGGGUGUCAAUGCCCACCCAAUGGACAGCCCCAUAGAAGGGACCCCAAUGGGUAUGGGGACCCCAAGGGGGGGGAUAUGGGGACCCCAAGGGAGGAGAUAUGGGGACAUAAGGGACCCCAGGGGGGGGAUAUGGGACAUAAGGGACCCCAGGGUGGGGAUAUGGGGACAUAAGGGACCCAAGGGGGGAUA